Non-coding RNA from Danio rerio (zebrafish), 89 nucleotides. Lineage: Eukaryota; Metazoa; Chordata; Actinopteri; Cypriniformes; Danionidae. The record is from Rfam.
GGCUCUGUGGCACAAUGGAUAGUGCAUUGUACUUCUAGGCUGUGAGCUGAGCCAUUCAAAGGUUGUGGGUUUGAGUCCCACCAGAGUCG